AUCAACACUGACUCGACCUAGGAUAUGCGUGUUGCGACGAACCUAUCAAACAUGGAAAAAUAAUGGUUAAAACGUUCAACCACACAUGCACAUUGCGUCGUAUUAACUCGAAAUUAGAACUAUACGUAAAACGAAAAUUUGCGAAAGUUCAAGUAUAAGUGAGAAAAGUUGUGAAGUUCAAUUGCAAAUAAUGAAAAGUUUUUGGUUAAAGUUAAUAAAACAAAUUAUGUAGGGUUAAAAUUGUAAAAGAUAAAAAUAUUUGGGUAAAAAGUAAAAAAUCAACUUUUUUUUUUGAAAACACCCAAAGCAAAAUGUAUAAGUGAUGAUGCACAACAAAGUUGUAAACUUAUAUAUGGAAUAAUAAGCGAGAUGAAUAAUAUAAUGUCUACAUAAAAAUAUGCAAUUGGAGUAAUCUCUUUUCUAAACCCUAGACACUAGAUAUUUUUAUAUGAAUUUUGGGCUUUUGAGCUUCUUCAUGACGGGUAGGAUCCAAAAACAUAGUAAUUUUGAGAGGACAAUAAUUAAACCCUAGUAACCACAACAAAGAAAUGGAGGGCCCAAACUCUAACUUUUAUCUUUUUAAACUAUUGGGCCGGCCUAGAGUAAACAUAAAAAGCCCACUUCAAACAUAACUUUUCCUCACCUGGAAUCCAAUGUAACCCUAAUUAACCAUGGCGGCUGAAACCCUCUUUUCUUCCUUCCUAUAAUAAGACGCCCCUGAAGCUACAUAACUCACAACCAAAUCACUAGAUCUAGAUCAGAAAACAACUACUCUCGGUUUAACCGGUCUGUUGGGAGUCUGUUGAGCCGGUGCCCAUAUUUGGUACGAGUGGGAUAGGUUUUAAAAAGUUAGUUUGUUGUUGCUAACAUGGAUGUGAAUAUUGACUUUUUUUUUGGAAUUUUUGUUUAUUUUUUGUUUAUGAGCUUGAUUGAAUUGACAACAUGGAAAAUCACCAUUGAUUGCAAAUUCGUUAACCAAGUCAAUUUCUAGCAAAAUAGUUGUUAGUAUGGACAUGCUCAUUACUAGUGUUGUAAACUAACCGAAUGUUAAGCGAACAAGCUGUGAACCAUUCGACAGGAAGUUCGUCUAUGUUCGUUCGUUUAGUAAAUGAACAAACAUGAACAAUAAAUUCCGUUCGAUAAGUUAAACAAACGAACAUGAAUAGAGGUUCGUUUGUUUGUUUAUGUUCGUGAAAGUUUGAUAAGUUAUUAAUUUAUGUUCACUCGUUUAUGUUAUUUGUGUUCGUUCAUUUAAAGGUUAUUUUUUAUGUUAUAUUUUUUUUUAUUUUGGUUUUAGUUUUUAAAAAUUUGAAACCAUAGUUAAUACACUAUUUACACUAUAAGCCUCUACCAACAUCUUCUAUUUGACCAUUUUAAUUUCAAUUUGUGUUGAAGCUUGACAAGCUUCUUAAUUUUUGUGUUCAUUAUGUUUAUGAUAAUUAUGUUGACUAUGUUCGGAUAGUUAUGUUAAGUAAUAUUAUAUUUUUGGUGGUUUCUCCUCUGAUAAAAAAUGUAAAUUUUAUAUUAAUUUAAAUGAAUAUAACGUCUGUUUGUUAAUUGAUUAUUUAUGUUCAUCAACAUUUAUUUGUGUUCGUUUGCAUUCAGUCAGUGUUUGUGAACAUGUUCAUUUCCUUAAUGAACGAACACGAACAAGAAAUCUUGUUUGGGAAGCAUUCGUGAACCUUAUUUGGACAUAAUUAUUCCUUAGUGAACAAACACGAACAAAGCCUUGUCCGUAUUAGUUCGGUUCGUUUACAACCCCUACUCAUUACCUUUAUUGUUUUAUAUCUCUCAAAAAUGGAAGGGCUGAAUAGGUAGAGGAUUUUUAUAUGGAAAUUAAUAUAAUACUAAUUUACAUGAAAUUUUAACUAAUGUAUUUAUUUCCUAAUAACACCUAUGGUGGUACUCAUCUUACAAUGCCAAUUAAUAUGCUGCAUGACUCAUUUUGCUUAAAUUCUUUUGAUGGGAUAUUAUUUUGGGUUUCAGUUUCUUGAGCCAAUUUGAAUUUAUGUGUGUAUUUGUACCAUGUUGGUUUUGUGGUUUGAUAAACUCACAUAUUAACAACAGAGGUUCAGCUUCUUUAGUCACUCUUCAUCAUAGCAAAGGUAUAGAAAACUUGGAGCUACAUCAGCAUAUGUUUAUUAGCUAUAAAGCUAUUAAGUUGUUUAAAGCAUAGUUAUCAAUAGCGUCUAUGGCGGCCGUUAUAGCGAAUAGUGUGGCGUGGCGGUCAUAUGCCGCCACAAGGUAGUUUGUGUAUUUAAACAUUUAACCCCCUCUAUCUUUAGUAGUUUACAUUUGGUCCUUAAACUUUCUAAUUAAACAUAAAAAGUAUUAAAUUAACAUUAUAUACACAUAUAUAAAUUAUGGAUAGCUAUAUUUUAUUUUUUAAAUUAUCUACUACCUUAUCGCUAACGAUAACUAUGGUUUAAAGUUACAAAGAACCAAGCGUAAAGCCCUAACGCUCACCUUACACUUGAUAUUGGAAAAAACUAAUGUUUGGACUCGUAGUUUAUACAGUCAAACAGCUCUUAUUUAGAACAUCCUAAAAUCAAUCGAGAAAAACUACUACAUGUGUAUGCACUUCUUUAAAAAAAGAUACAAGAGUGACCCGCUGUGCUUAACCGAGUAUUUGUUAAUCUCGUCAAAUUAAUUGCUAAAGUUUUGUGCAAAGCAUGUUUCUCUAUGUGCUCAUUGUAGGUUAAAGAUCUAUUAUGUGGCUUCAAACAAACCAGUGAACAGUCUUUUUGUAAGCUGACUACAGCUUUGACCUUGUUUUAGCUAUUAGCUAUUAUAACACGACGGUGUGGGAUGUUCGGGUGAGGGAUGUUGUUGAGAUGGGUGUGGCAUUAGAGGAGUACACAUUGGUGGUUCUGCUGGGUGAUACCAGUAAUAGAUUUGAUCGAUCAGUUGGUAAAUACCAUGGUUCUGGCAGGGGUCCAACUUAUAGUCGCCAAGGAGAUAGAAAGCAGGAUAAGCGGCAUAUGUUUACAAAAGAUUCUUUAUAUAUAAUGUACUCCCUAACUUCACAAAGAAUUUGUAAUUAGAGGAAAAUUUUGAAAUGGGA
Helianthus annuus (common sunflower) is the source of this 3064-nucleotide long non-coding RNA. RefSeq lists it as uncharacterized. NCBI's taxonomy places the organism in Eukaryota, Viridiplantae, Streptophyta, Magnoliopsida, Asterales, Asteraceae. The record is from RefSeq and is a predicted model, not a curated record. The transcript has 2 exons.